Molecule: ribosomal RNA, 252 nt
Filed under: Paracoccaceae bacterium
Lineage: Bacteria; Pseudomonadati; Pseudomonadota; Alphaproteobacteria; Rhodobacterales; Paracoccaceae
Description: Rhodobacteraceae bacterium partial 23S ribosomal RNA
Rfam family: Bacterial large subunit ribosomal RNA
Source: RNAcentral
GGAUCAAAUCAAGCGCGAAAAGGGCGUUUGGUGAAUGCCUUGGCAGUAAGAGGCGAUGAAGGACGUGAUACUCUGCGAUAAGUUAUGGGGAGCUGAGAAUAAGCUUUGAUCCAUAAAUUUCCGAAUGGGGCAACCCACCUGAUACUUUGUUAUUAAUACUACUUAUUGUAGUGCCGUUUAAGGGUCCGCCCUUAGGCUGCGUUGCAUGCGGUGGGGCAUAAUAAUAGGGUAAACCAGGUAUUUAUGACUGAA